AGGAGGAAUAGAAAAACCAUGAUAAAAAUAUAGAAGGUAGUUUCAAUCAAAAUUUUUUUUUUCAAAUAAGGUUUUUUGAAGUUUCCUUAUUUUGUGAGCAUUAUAAAAAGCGUUGCCACAUUCCUAAAAAUGAUUUUUAUUUUAGAGACAUUUUUUACAAAAAAUGUGUAAUUUAUAAUUUAGUAUUUAAAUAAAAAUGUAUUAAGUAUGUUGUGUUGGAAGUUAAUGAUUCAAUUCCUAACAUUCGCUAUAUAAUUUGGGCUACCUGACAAAGAAUUUUCAUUAAAUUUUAAAAAAAAUUAAUUUAAACGUUCCAAAAGGCUUAAAAAACUGGUGUUUGGUUUGUAUAAUCCACCCUCUGACAAGUUUUACAUACAUCCAGCCACUGUUGUCGUUUGUUUGUUAGGUAUUUGGUAUUUUCGCAGUUGGGGAAAAUGCAACUCAUGUUUGUUAAAUCUUAAAAUAAUGUUCACAAAUUAGCUUUGAAAUAUUUGAAAAUGAAAAUCUUACCUUUGAUCCCAAUUUGAUAGUAAAUAUUUUUCAUAUUUUUUUUAAUAUUCUUCAAAUUAAUGAAAAUUAUGUAUUAAUUUUUUCACAAACUUCAAAGAAUAUAUGGGAAAAUUUUUAAUUAAUAUGGUAUUACUAUUUUAACGAAAACGUCAAAAUCCUUAAGCAUGUCAGACGUAGAAUUUUAAAAAAUAAAGAGAGAAUGAAACUACCUUCUAUUUUUCUACUAUGAGAAAAACUACGCAUGUGUAAAUGCGUAAUUAAUUUUUCAAUGGCGGUGAUCAAAGAUGAUUCUUAUCCUUAUAUUCAAGGGGAAAAGAAAAAUUGCUGAAAUUACCGGAUUCCAGGAAAUAUCAAAGAAAAUGCUUUGAAUAUUUCAUUUGAAGUGCCAAAGGAAAAAGGAGUUUGUUGUACUAAAGGUCAUACCAAUUCAUGGAUCUCAUACAACUUCAUUUUGAGAAGAGGGAAAUAAAUAAAAGUUAUGGGAAUUAGAAUAGCUAGAACCAAAAAAUUUUGGCACCAACCAAAGUGAAAGUCUUGACGACUGGC
This is a long non-coding RNA of Calliphora vicina (urban bluebottle blowfly), 1056 nucleotides long. RefSeq lists it as uncharacterized. NCBI's taxonomy places the organism in Eukaryota, Metazoa, Arthropoda, Insecta, Diptera, Calliphoridae. The record is from RefSeq and is a predicted model, not a curated record. The transcript is spliced from 5 exons.